AUUGGACGCUGGCGGCAGGCCUAACACAUGCAAGUCGAGCGGAUGAAGGGAGCUUGCUCCUGGAUUCAGCGGCGGACGGGUGAGUAAUGCCUAGGAAUCUGCCUGGUAGUGGGGGAUAACGUCCGGAAACGGGCGCUAAUACCGCAUACGUCCUGAGGGAGAAAGUGGGGGAUCUUCGGACCUCACGCUAUCAGAUGAGCCUAGGUCGGAUUAGCUGGUUGGUGGGGUGAAGGCCUACCAAGGCGACGAUCCGUAACUGGUCUGAGAGGAUGAUACGUCACACUGGAACUGAGACACGGUCCAGACGCCUACGGGAGGGCGCAGUCGGGAAUAGUGGGCAAUGGGCGAAAGUAUGAUCCAGUCAUGCCGCGUGUGUGAAGAAGGUCCUCGGAUUGUAAAGCACGUUAAGUUGGGAGGAAGGUCAGUAAGUUAAUACCUUGCUGUUGUGACGUUACCAACAGAAUAAGCACCGGCUAACUUCGUG
This 484-nucleotide ribosomal RNA is filed under the name uncultured bacterium. Its description in RNAcentral is "partial 16S ribosomal RNA". It matches the Rfam family "Bacterial small subunit ribosomal RNA", at positions 30 to 507 of the family's 1533-position model. The record is from RNAcentral.